AUACGUAGGGGGCGUGCGUUGUCCGGAAUGAUUGGGCGUAAAGGGAGCGUAGGCGUCUUUGCAAGUCAGAAGUGGAAGUCCAUUUUUCAAGGCUGGAAGUGCUACAGAAACUGCGGCGCUUGAGUUCAGGAGAGGUUAUCUGAAUUUCCGGUGUAGCGGUGAAAUGCGUAGAGAUCGGGAGGAACACCAGUGGCGAAGGCGGGGAACUGGACUGCAACUGACGCUGAGGCUCGAAAGCGUGGGUAGCAAACAGGAUUAGAUACCCUGGUAGUCCACGCUGUAAACGAUGAUUACUAGGUGUGGGGGGACUGACCCCUUCCGUGCCGCAGUUAACACAAUAAGUAAUCCACCUGGGGAGUACGGCCGCAAGGUUGAAACUCAAAUGAAUUGACGGGG
Molecule: ribosomal RNA, 396 nt
Filed under: uncultured bacterium
Lineage: Bacteria
Description: partial 16S ribosomal RNA
Rfam family: Bacterial small subunit ribosomal RNA
Source: RNAcentral